Long non-coding RNA from Peromyscus californicus insignis, 3129 nucleotides. RefSeq lists it as uncharacterized. Lineage: Eukaryota; Metazoa; Chordata; Mammalia; Rodentia; Cricetidae. The record is from RefSeq and is a predicted model, not a curated record. The transcript has 3 exons.
GGAGAGAAAGAAGGCUCCGCACUUAGGAGCGCUGAGUGCUCUUCCAGAGAAACUGGGGUUCGAUUCCCAGCCACCACGUACCAAAGGACCUCAUACCCUCUUCUGGCCUCCACAGGCACUGGACAGCAAUGGCCUGUGUCAUGCCCAAGGACAGAGUUUGACAACCCAUAUAAAGGUUUAGGGCUGGAGAGCAAUUUCCAGUAAAGUCCUCCAAACGCCUGUGGCACCACAUUUCCACUUCAGAAACGGAAGACUCACUCAGCCUAUCCAAUGAGCCAGUCUUGAGAAAUGGGGCUCAGGUACUUGCCAGGAUCAAGGUGCCGUCUCUGCUGUCCAGCUCGACCUCCUAGAGGGGGGAGAAGGAAGGAAGGACGGACGGACGGACGGACGGACUCAGGAUGCUUGUUACUGGAAUUGGGGAAAACAGUGUAAGGACCAAGGAGUGCUCUACCUCAUCUGUUCUAGCGCUGGACUAGAAGCAUCUGCCCAUCUUGAUAUCUGGAGACUUCCAGAGUACAUCUAUGACCAGGGACGUUCUUUUCCUGGUGUGGGGCUGAUGUGGCAUCUUCCCAAGGGUACCCACUGGUUCUGCUUUAUGCUUGGACUGUUGAAGUGUAGCACACAGUAGGUACUCAAUCAAUGCUUGGGUGUGUGUAUUUGGGGAUAACUACCUGGUGGAUAAAUGAGUCAAUCUCUUCCCCUGCCAGGAGAGGCAACCUGGUUUAUAUGUCCCUGCUGUUUGCUGUGUCCAUGGGCAAGUCUCACCUUCCUCAGUUUUCCUCUGAAUCACGAGGGAGUUGGUAUGGUGUCCAUGGGGUCCUUUAUAAACCUUCCUUAUCCCCAUCCUGAUGAGUUAUGAGCAGUACCCUACAGGUCUGCCCUAAUAGCCUGGCAUGGCCCAGCCCCACAGGCUCCUUAGGGCAGGCUAGGAGAGACUAGCCUAAGCAGAGACAGGUCUGUCUGGGUAGCUCUGUUGUCUGCAGAGGCCUUUGAAGACCACUGUUUUAGCUUUGGCUAUAGCAGAGACAGACCGCAGCCUGGUCACUGGGCUAUGCUUACAUUACAGUGGGGAUGAGCAGGGCUUGGUGGGUACAAUGAGAUGCCUCCUUGUUAGCUCUCAUGGAACUCCUGUCCAGGUAGGGUCUGGGGCUUACUUCAUCCUACCUAGAGUCAGCUUAGGGAGUAUGGAAGGUCAAGGGGACCUAGGGUCCCAACCCAGGUGGUGUGGAAAGGGCAGCCAAGGGUAGUGACAGGUCCCAAGCAUAGGUGGUCAUUACCAUGACAAGGACCUCCUCACUAGACUGGUCAGGGCUACCAAGCCUGGCUUGAUUUCCUCAGUUGAUCCCAAUAGAAGACAAGGUUCUUGGAGAUUUUCUGUGCACCUAGGACCAGCUGGGACCUGCAUUGUUCACAUUACACCCAGAGACCAGCUAUUUGCAGAAAACACAGCAGUGACACACAAGGGCCAACACACAGUGGGUACGCAGAGGUAUGGGGAAGUGGCUGCUGGGCUUGUUCUGUUAGGUCAGGAGAGAGGGUAGCACCAGGGAUACCCUCCCCAGGGAUGCCCAAGGUGCCUCAAGUCCUCAGCCUCUGGUGGCAGAACCUGAGACGUAGCCCUGAGAAGAAUUCCUGUGUACUGGAUCUUGCCCUGUUUCAGUUGCUGUGCCCAGAGACAGGUCUAUCAGCUGUGUGAACAUGAGGUGGAUGCAAAGAAAAGGGUCUGUCAAACGCACAAGAUCAACUGUUUAUUGAUUUGUUCUUCUUCUAAAAUACUAUACAUUUAAAGGACUUUCUAAACAUUAAGGACUAUAGCUGAGGAACAAGGAUUUCUGCUGGUAAGUUGUCAUGACACAUAGCCACAGUGACAGGGCGCUCAUGGCAAACACUGAGAAACACAAGCUGCUGAUGUGCAACACUGCACACGGUCUGAGCUAACAAAAUAAAGGCCCUCCCCGAGCCCAUCCCUGGGGCUCAGAGCAGUUCCACUGUACUGGAGGACAAGGGUACCUGGAGGGACGUGUGCUGGGGGUAGAACCCCUCGAACUCUCCAGUGAGUGGCACAGGACUGUGAAGCCUGUGACGACAGCAAAGACCUGGGAGCUUUUCCAGUGCUCUGCCAUGGAGCUGGAGCUCUGACCAGUGAGAAUCAGUCUUCUCAGCAGCCUCCACUCAGAGGCCAGAGCCACAUCUUAACUGGGAGGCGGCUGUCGGCCAGCCAUGCCUGUCCUCAAUGCCAUGGGCUUCAAGCAGGUGACAAUACCUGCUGUCAGAAGCCACCAACUCUCAUUUCAACAGUAGGUGAACUUUAUAGAUUCUCUGAAUAUCAAAUAAUAUAUACAGAUAUACAUCAAGACAUGAGUCUAAUGUAAAGCAUCUUAAUCUACAGAUGUAGCUGCUUUGAAAAGUUAGUCUUCUUUUAACUUUCCAAAUCACUAAUAAAACUGUUAAUCUGCAAAAACUGAAGCAAGAAUAGAGUGAAAAUAAUGGUGAUGUUGGGGAAUGCUGCAAAACGUUACCCCUGCAACUGGCACUUGCCAUGGAACCCCUGCUACAGCAACCCCACAUCUGGACAAAGCAGAGAAAUGAAGACACCUUACAUAGAGAACAUCUCGGAUCAAUCUAGGCCAUAAUUUACGUGACUGGAAGAGCAUAUAAAAAAGUAUAACUGUACAUUGCCUUUAAAUUAAAAACUCAAACUCUUUACUCAGAAAAUGGCGUUGAAGUCUGUUCACUGAACUUGCAGGUAGGGACUCAUCAGAGAAAAUAAUCAGUGGAACAAGAAUCAGUGUGAUCCGUCAUUGACUCAGGAGAGGCAAGGGCAAGAAGGUGCAGAUCCAUGAUACAGAGAGCUGGUAGGGGUAGGGAGGGGCUUGGCUUUUGCUGUUGGAUCAUGUGUUUCUUCCUGUGCCUAGAUCUGCCCAGAUGUGCUUGGAAAGGGGCCAAGUCCCCAGUGAAAUCACCAGCUCAUCUGCCUUCAAAAUACACCAGGAAGCCAAGAACAACAGAACCAUCAUCUUUUGCAGGUGGAGUGGAUGCCUAGACGGCUGCUGGGGGAACUAGAGGUGUCGCUGCACAGGCCAAGGCUAACGGAGCUCCUGAACUGCCCACUUCCGUCUCUCCACCAGC